Molecule: long non-coding RNA, 449 nt
Filed under: Coturnix japonica (Japanese quail)
Lineage: Eukaryota; Metazoa; Chordata; Aves; Galliformes; Phasianidae
Description: lncRNA (ENSCJPG00005010895.1)
Source: RNAcentral
AAAUGGGUUUAGCUGAUGAAGAUAAUUGGGUGCUAAGAAGAAUUGAAAAUAUCUUCAAACAUCUGUCUCUUGAAGUGGAAGUCCUUAAGAAAAACAAGAAGAAAAACACUGAAAUAAACCUGCCUUUCCAUAAAUGCAUUUAGGAGUUGUAGAGCUCUUCAACCUUUUUUUUUCCCCACAUGUUCCACUUUGUCUGAAGCUCCAUGUAUUCUCUAUGGAUGGACUAAGAAGAAAGCUUGAGCAAAACUCUGUCAGCUCUUGGAAACAGCACAAAUCAUGGCUGUGUCAUUAUUUCAUAAACUGAAGUAGCUAAUGCAGAGUGCUACCUUUUAUAAGAAGUCUCUUAUCCUGCUGACUGCAUCUCUCAUUAUACUCUCAUUAUUAUAUUCUCAUUAUGAAUCUUAUUUCUCCUUAAUAAACCAUUGAUGGACAGUUGAAAAUAGCGAGUA